This 500-nucleotide ribosomal RNA is filed under the name uncultured bacterium. RNAcentral describes it as "partial 16S ribosomal RNA". It matches the Rfam family "Bacterial small subunit ribosomal RNA", at positions 30 to 523 of the family's 1533-position model. The record is from RNAcentral.
AUUGAACGCUGGCGGAAUGCUUUACACAUGCAAGUCGAACGGCAGCACGGACUUCGGUCUGGUGGCGAGUGGCGAACGGGUGAGUAAUGUAUCGGAACGUGCCCAGUCGUGGGGGAUAACGUAGUGAAAAUUACGCUAAUACCGCAUACGAUCUAUGGAUGAAAGCGGGGGAUCGCAAGACCUCGCGCGAUUGGGGCGGCCGACAUCAGAUUAGGUAGUUGGUGGGGUAAAGGCCCACCAAGCGAGCGAUCUGUAGCUGGUCUGAGAGGACGACCAGCCCCACUGGAACGGAGACACGGUCCAGACUCCUACGGGAGGCAGCAGUGGGGAAUUUUGGACAAUGGGCGAAAGCCUGAUCCAGCCAUUCCGCGUGCAGGAUGAAGGCCCUCGGGUUGUAAACUGCUUUUGUACAGAACGAAAAGGUUUCUACUAAUACUAGGAGCUCACGACGGUACUGUAAGAAUAAGCACCGGCUAACUACGUGCCAGCAGCCGCCGUAA